UUUAAACAUGAGAGUUUGAUCUUGGCUCAGGACGAACGCUGGCGGCAUGCCUAAUACAUGCAAGUCGAACGAUGAUAUCACUGCUUGCAGUGAUUGAUUAGUGGCGAACGGGUGAGUAACACGUGAGGAACUUGCCCAUGAGCGGGGGACAACAUUCGGAAACGGAUGCUAAUACCCCAUAGGUGGAUUGGUCGCAUGACGAAUUCAUUAAAGGUGGCUCUGCUACCACUCAUGGAUAGCCUCGCGGCGUAUUAGCUAGUUGGUAAGGUGAUGGCUUACCAAGGCAGUGAUACGUAGCCGACUUGAGAGGGUGAUCGGCCACACUGGGACUGAGACACGGCCCAGACUCCUACGGGAG
This 358-nucleotide ribosomal RNA is filed under the name Dolosigranulum pigrum. RNAcentral describes it as "bacterial SSU rRNA". It matches the Rfam family "Bacterial small subunit ribosomal RNA", at positions 1 to 347 of the family's 1533-position model. Lineage: Bacteria; Bacillati; Bacillota; Bacilli; Lactobacillales; Carnobacteriaceae. The record is from RNAcentral.